This 229-nucleotide ribosomal RNA is filed under the name uncultured bacterium. Its description in RNAcentral is "partial 16S ribosomal RNA". It matches the Rfam family "Bacterial small subunit ribosomal RNA", at positions 568 to 796 of the family's 1533-position model. The record is from RNAcentral.
UGCGUAGGCGGCCAAAUAAGUCAGAGGUGAAAUCCUACAGCUUAACUGUAGAACUGCCUUUGAAACUGUUUGGCUAGAAUAGAGUUGAGGUUAGCGGAAUGUGACAUGUAGCGGUGAAAUGCAUAGAUAUGUCAUAGAACACCAAUUGCGAAGGCAGCUAACUGGGCUUUUAUUGACGCUGAGGCACGAAAGCGUGGGGAGCGAACAGGAUUAGAUACCCGAGUAGUCC